RNAcentral lists this ribosomal RNA (426 nucleotides) under uncultured bacterium. RNAcentral describes it as "partial 16S ribosomal RNA". It matches the Rfam family "Bacterial small subunit ribosomal RNA", at positions 354 to 796 of the family's 1533-position model. The record is from RNAcentral.
GUGAGGAAUUUUCCGCAAUGGGCGAAAGCCUGACGGAGCAAUGCCGCGUGAAGGAUGAAGGCCUAUGGGUUGUAAACUUCUUUUCUCAGAAAAGAAUUAUGACGGUAUCUGAGGAAUAAGCAUCGGCUAACUCUGUGCCAGCAGCCGCGGUAAGACAGAGGAUGCAAGCGUUAUCCGGAAUGAUUGGGCGUAAAGCGUCUGUAGGUUGUUUAAAAAGUAUUCUGUCAAAGAUUAGGGCUUAACCCUAGAUAGGCAGAAUAAACUUUUAAGCUAGAGUUUGGUAGAGGCAGAGGGAAUUACCGGUGGAGCGGUGAAAUGCGUAGAUAUCGGGAGGAACACCAAAGGCGAAGGCACUCUGCUGGGCCAAUACUAACACUGAGAGACGAAAGCGAGGGGAGCAAAUGGGAUUAGAAACCCGUGUAGUCC